CGUGGCCUCUCGUCGCCGUCCUCCAGCUCCUCACCAGCAGAGCAUCAGGGGGGCACCAGCACCAUGUCCCGCUCUCCAGCCUCCGGCCAGCCCCGGGACUUUCUUCACAGCAGCCCCUGCGCCUCCCGCAUCCUGCCAGCACACCUUCAGGGGGAUCGGAGCGUGCACAUCUGCCGAGGAGCAAGCAGGAUGCUGCUUUUCCAGUGCUUUAGAAACCUCCUUUGGAAAUGCACCCCGCAGAAGGACUUGGGGACAGUUCGCUGCUUUUCAGUUCCAUGAUUUCUCAAACCUCAGCCCCGAAUUUUAUAAGGGAGCAUCUCCUACAGCAGCCCCACACACACUCUUACAUGCCAGAGCAGCUUUGCACAGGAGCCGAGGGGCUGCAGCCUUGCAGAUGUGUUUGUGUGCAAGUGUUGGUCUGGCCAUGGUCUGACUCAGCCCAUCCAAGCUGGCAAGGGAUCACACGUCCCUGUGUGCUGCUGGGACCAGCCUACAGCACCCUCCAUACCGGAGCUUUUCCUUCAUCCUCCGUGGUGGGAAUUGCUCCUUCCAGUGCAAGACACCGUUACAUGCUGCUCCGAGUGUUUUGGGAAGCCCAUGAAUGCAGAAACCAUGCUACAAAAAUGCAGCAUGAUGCUCUCAACCAGGGGUCCCAGGAGAGGUGCGGGAAACCAAACGGAGCCGGUGGGUGUUUGAGACACAGGAACCUCUGCAGUGAGAACCUCACUGCUUGACUCCAUCAGCCCCAGCGCUCCUGGCUCCUCAUCUCCAGUUCUUCAUCAAGAGCCUAAGCAAGGUCCCAUCACCCCGUCCCACGUGUCCCAGGCUCUUAGGGGUUACCUGGGUGCACAAGGGGGGGACCAGCCCCAUCUCCAGGACCGAGCUUGUGGGCUCCUCUGGGAUUUAAGCACAGCAGAAACCUGGAGCAGAGGGACGGGUAUCACCCCACGGGUCAAAAAAAGCGAGGAUCCAAGUGCCCCGUAGCAUCUCCUUGGCAAUGAGCAAAUGCGCUCUGCUCAGCCCUCCAAAAAGUACUAAAGAAAGGCAAAACACGCUCAUGUAAAAUCAUGCAAACCGAUACAAUGGCGCUGCGAUCCUGCUUGGCUCUCGACCAGCUGGAGUUUCACGAGGAAUCAAUUUUAGAUUAAAAAAGGUCAAUAUAGUACGUUGAGGCGCUUCCCUGGGAGGCGAGGAGAUAACUUCAUUUGUGAGCGGGUGGGAAAGGAGCCCAACGCUUUGUCUCUUGCUCUGCUCAUAACUCACCACCCUCCAAGACUCCACACUCCUUGGCUGUUACUCGUUUUGCAAGAAAAAACUCAGAUGACCAAAAUUAUGGAGGAAAUGUUAGGAGGAAAUUGAAUCAGGGUCAUGUUAUAUAUAUAUAACCCCCGGAUGAGCAUCAGUGAUGCUCCCGGUGCAGCCAGCAAAUAGUUAUUUGGGGGAAGAAGGAGGCACAAAGCUGCUGCAGGGCAGCCAGGCUGGGGAUGCUGUUUGAUGCCUUAAAAAAAGGCAAAACCAAGGUAAAAAGGGGGUUUUAGUUUAACAGAACACACGCAGAGGUCGUCACAGUUUUGCAGCCCCAAGCCCUGGCAUUGGGUUGGGUUUUUCCUCCCUUCUUUUCCUUUUGGGCUCUUGGGGAUGAUAUUUGUCUUUCUUUUGGGCUGAAACCAUUGUCUGGGCUUGGUGGUGGUUCGGAAUGUGAACUUUGGAGGCGAAUUUAUACCAAAGCGCCGAAUGUCUGCGUGGGGAUGUCCCUGGGAGAGGCUGGUGGGGACGCGCCAGCCCGCGGGAGCUGCUGCGGAGACAAAGCCAAGGGGGAACAUCUUUCACCCGCUCAGGCAGUAAUUAACGGCACUAAGAGACAAAAUGAUGGGUUUUGGCAUGUUUAUUGGCAAAGAAAUCUGCGGAGGGGCCGCAUCUAUGUGAGUUACGGUGACGGGGAAAAGAUAUUUAUUCCGAUGCAUUAUGUAAAUCAGUGCGGGAUAAACACAUGCGAAAAUCAUCGGCACAGGUCAUGCGUAAUUAAGCCAGUUGGGUAAUUGCCCUUAAUGGGGAGCGGGGAUGGGGUUUGUGCUUACCUCAGGUUAAAUCCCUCCAGAGGCUGAUGGGUGGCUGGAUUUUGGCUGAAGAGCCAUGAUACACACAGCUCAAGUGAUGGGAUUCAUGCUAACAAGCCCCUAGUUAACCAGUGGCACGGGGCUGUGCUGGGCCAGAGCAGCCUGGGGACAGGACACCCCAGCCCUGGGGCAAGGGAUGUCACAGCCUUGGGAUCAAGGAUGUCCCAUCCCUGGAGUCAAGGAUGCUCCAGGAAACCCCAGUGUCAGCCCUGGACUCAGGACACCCCAUUGAUGGGGGGUGCUCUCUGUGAUGGGGACCCCAAAUCCAGGCACCAGACUCGUGCUGGGGGUGCUGUGCUGCUGGCCUUGACCCUGACCCCAGCCCUCCUGGCUUCACCCGGGAGCAGCCCCGAGUGUCACUUGGUGUCACCCCACACGAGGCAUCUGCCACCAAGGGACCAAGGGAAGCGCCACAAUGGAGCAAACCAAACCAAACCACCUCCAGUAAUAACCACACAUCUAUUUCACCAACCUUCCCCCAAUUUUAACAUAAUUAGCCGUCAGCCUGCCAAUCAACGUCAGCUCCCGCGGAUCGCCGUUAAUGGAUCGCUGUUCAGCCGGCUGUUAUUGAAUCGAUAUAGAAAUUAAAAUGCGUUCACUCCAUUCUUCCUCAGCUGUCAUCUUAUCUCGGCGUCUAGCGAAGAGUGCGGCAGAUUACAGAAUCCAUCAUCAUUUAGCCUUUGUAGCUUGCAAAAUUCAUAAUUAACAAAAAAUUUCUAUUCACUUGCUCAUGUAAUUUAAUUAGUUUUCCAUUAAAUAGAGACUAAAUAUCA
Long non-coding RNA from Columba livia (rock pigeon), 2890 nucleotides. RefSeq lists it as uncharacterized. The record is from RefSeq and is a predicted model, not a curated record. NCBI's taxonomy places the organism in Eukaryota, Metazoa, Chordata, Aves, Columbiformes, Columbidae. The transcript has 2 exons.